RNAcentral lists this ribosomal RNA (348 nucleotides) under uncultured bacterium. RNAcentral describes it as "bacterial SSU rRNA". It matches the Rfam family "Bacterial small subunit ribosomal RNA", at positions 355 to 720 of the family's 1533-position model. The record is from RNAcentral.
UAGGGAAUAUUAGAAAUGGACGAAAGUCUGAUCUAGCAACACCGCGUGUGCGAAGAAGGCCUUCGGGUCGUAAAGCACUUUUUGGAAGGAAUAGGAAGGAAUGUACUUCCAGAAUAAGUCUCGGCUAACUACGUGCCAGCAGCCGCGGUAACACGUAGGUGGCAAACGUUAUCCGGAUUUACUGGGCGUAAAGCGCGUGUAGGUGGUACUGUAAGUAGGGCGUGAAAGAUCCUGGGUCAACUGGGAGAGGCCGUUCUAAACUACAGAAAUAGAGGAUGGUAGAGGGAGGGGGAAUGACAGGUGUAGCGGUGGAAUGCGCAGAUAUCUGGAGGAACAACGGUGGCGAAG